This is a non-coding RNA of Mycena belliarum, 94 nucleotides long. NCBI's taxonomy places the organism in Eukaryota, Fungi, Basidiomycota, Agaricomycetes, Agaricales, Mycenaceae. The record is from the annotation of a GenBank genome assembly.
GCGGACGUGGUGUAUGGGACACGCAUGUCUGAAUUGGUGGCGAUUCAUGUAGCCCAGUCAACAGUUGGACGGGGUUCGAUUCCCCGCGUCCGCG